Long non-coding RNA from Limulus polyphemus (Atlantic horseshoe crab), 437 nucleotides. RefSeq lists it as uncharacterized. The transcript has 2 exons. NCBI's taxonomy places the organism in Eukaryota, Metazoa, Arthropoda, Merostomata, Xiphosura, Limulidae. The record is from RefSeq and is a predicted model, not a curated record.
CCUAUUUAGUGGGUCGAAAAUAGGGAAAAUAGAGUUUAAAAACCCAUGUCAGAGGCUGAAAAAUCAGUUCUCCCGGACUGAAGAAAGUUCUCCAGGAACAAGUUCUCCAGGCCAGAAUGAAAGUGAAAUUCAGCAACGUAGCAAAGACUUCUAAUACUCAAACUCUACUGUGGCGCCUGAUGGCUUUAACUCCCUCUUUGGAGCACAAGAAAAGCAUGCCUGAUGGUGAUGUGGAUUGCCAUGGACACCAGACUGACUGCUGAACAGUGAAGUCAAAUACGGCAAGUAUCUCUUCGUUAAUUAAUAUGUGAUGAUGGAUUCAUAAGUGCAGUGCUUUUCGUUACGUAUUUAAAUGACUUUGUGAAUAUUCCUUUAUGUAGACAACUGUGAUACAAUAAGAGUACAGCUUUCCAGUCUAAUAAAGAAUUUUGUUUCCA